This 115-nucleotide ribosomal RNA is filed under the name uncultured bacterium. RNAcentral's name for it is "partial 16S ribosomal RNA". The record is from RNAcentral.
CCGGUAUUAACGACUAACUUUUCCUCCCCACUGAAAGUGCUUUACAACCCGAAAGCCUUCUUCACACACGCGGCAUGGCUGCAUCAGGCUUGCGCCCAUUGUGCAAUAUUCCCCA